Molecule: ribosomal RNA, 253 nt
Filed under: uncultured bacterium
Lineage: Bacteria
Description: partial 16S ribosomal RNA
Rfam family: Bacterial small subunit ribosomal RNA
Source: RNAcentral
UACAGAGGUCUCGAGCGUUAGGCGGAAUCACUGGGCUUAAAGCGUGUGUAGGUGGAUGCCUAAGUACCUUGUGAAAUCCCACAGCUUAACUGUGGAACUGCUUGGUAUGCUGGGUGUCUUGAGUCACUCAGGGGCGAGCGGAACAAAUGGUGGAGCGGUGAAAUGCGUAGAUAUCAUUUGGAACGCCAAUGGUGAAAACAGCUCGCUGGGGGUGCACUGACACUGAGACACGAAAGCCAGGGGAGCGAACGGG